This 429-nucleotide ribosomal RNA is filed under the name Chloroflexota bacterium. RNAcentral's name for it is "Chloroflexi bacterium partial 16S ribosomal RNA". It matches the Rfam family "Bacterial small subunit ribosomal RNA", at positions 355 to 776 of the family's 1533-position model. Lineage: Bacteria; Bacillati; Chloroflexota. The record is from RNAcentral. RNAcentral also lists the same sequence under 1 other name.
UAGGGAAUCUUCGGCAAUGGACGAAAGUCUGACCGAGCAACGCCGCGUGAGUGAAGAAGGUUUUCGGAUCGUAAAACUCUGUUGUUAGAGAAGAACAAGGACGUUAGUAACUGAACGUCCCCUGACGGUAUCUAACCAGAAAGCCACGGCUAACUACGUGCCAGCAGCCGCGGUAAUACGUAGGUGGCAAGCGUUGUCCGGAUUUAUUGGGCGUAAAGCGAGCGCAGGCGGUUUCUUAAGUCUGAUGUGAAAGCCCCCGGCUCAACCGGGGAGGGUCAUUGGAAACUGGGAGACUUGAGUGCAGAAGAGGAGAGUGGAAUUCCAUGUGUAGCGGUGAAAUGCGUAGAUAUAUGGAGGAACACCAGUGGCGAAGGCGGCUCUCUGGUCUGUAACUGACGCUGAGGCUCGAGAGCGUGGGGAGCAAACAGG